Molecule: ribosomal RNA, 110 nt
Filed under: uncultured bacterium
Lineage: Bacteria
Description: partial 16S ribosomal RNA
Source: RNAcentral
CGGAGCGACACCGCGUGUAGGGAUGAAGGUCUUUCGGGAAUGUUAAACCACUGGUCGGAGGGGAAGCAAAAAGACCGGUACCUCCAAGAAAGCCCCGGCUAACUACGUGC